Molecule: transfer RNA, 70 nt
Filed under: zebrafish metagenome
Rfam family: tRNA
About the family: Transfer RNA (tRNA) molecules are approximately 80 nucleotides in length.
Source: RNAcentral
CCAGAUAGCUCAGUCGGUAGAGCAGAGGACUGAAAAUCCUUGUGUCGGUGGUUCGAUUCCACCUCUGGCC